Molecule: long non-coding RNA, 232 nt
Filed under: Elaeis guineensis (African oil palm)
Lineage: Eukaryota; Viridiplantae; Streptophyta; Magnoliopsida; Arecales; Arecaceae
Description: long non-coding RNA (EGUI_LNC081513)
Source: RNAcentral
GGAUGAAGAUUUAAUUUUGAUGUGCUAUGCCUAAGAGAUAGUAAUGACAAGAAAAUCUUAAAUUUUAUCCUAAAUUAUAUAUGAAAUCUGAAAGUUGGAUCUAUCUUUGAUUGAUUUAAUAUACAAAGAUAUUUUUAUUUUUGAUAAACUUAGAUAAUUUGGUAAGUUGAGAUCAGAGUGCGUAGCAAAAACGUGAUGGUCUGAAUUGAUUAGAAAUAUUAAUCCUUUAAAU